UAGGGAAUCUUCGGCAAUGGGGGCAACCCUGACCGAGCAACGCCGCGUGAGUGAAGAAGGUUUUCGGAUCGUAAAGCUCUGUUGUAAGAGAAGAACGAGUGUGAGAGUGGAAAGUUCACACUGCGACGGUAACUUACCAGAAAGGGACGGCUAACUACGUGCCAGCAGCCGCGGUAAUACGUAGGUCCCGAGCGUUAUCCGGAUUUAUUGGGCGUAAAGCGAGCGCAGGCGGUUAGAUAAGUCUGAAGUUAAAGGCUGUGGCUUAACCAUAGUACGCUUUGGAAACCGUUUAACUUGAGUGCAGAAGGGGAGAGUGGAAUUCCAUGUGUAGCGGUGAAAUGCGUAGAUAUAUGGAGGAACACCGGUGGCGAAAGCGGCUCUCUGGUCUGUAACUGACGCUGAGGCUCGAAAGCGUGGGGAGCAAACAGGAUUAGAUACCCUGGUAGUCCACGCCGUACGAUGAGUGCUAAGUGUUGGAGGGUUUCCGCCCUUCAGUGCUGCAGUUAACGCAUUACACUCCGCCUGGGGAGUACGACCGCAGGUU
RNAcentral lists this ribosomal RNA (544 nucleotides) under uncultured bacterium. Its description in RNAcentral is "bacterial SSU rRNA". It matches the Rfam family "Bacterial small subunit ribosomal RNA", at positions 355 to 895 of the family's 1533-position model. The record is from RNAcentral.